CAGCCGUAAACAAUGUGCGUUAGGUGUGUCGGUAACCACGUGUUACUGAUGCGCCGAAGAGAAAUCGUGAAACGCACCACCUGGGAAGUACGGCCGCAAGGCUGAAACUUAAAGGAAUUGGCGGGGGAGCACCACAACAGGUGGAGCCUGCGGUUUAAUUGGAUUCAACGCCGGACAUCUCACCGGAUAAGACAGCUGAAUGAUUGUCAAUCUGAAGGUUUUACAUGACUAGCUGAGAGGUGGUGCAUGGCGUCAGUGACU
RNAcentral lists this ribosomal RNA (261 nucleotides) under uncultured archaeon. Its description in RNAcentral is "partial 16S ribosomal RNA". It matches the Rfam family "Archaeal small subunit ribosomal RNA", at positions 748 to 1008 of the family's 1478-position model. The record is from RNAcentral.